UACAGAGGUCUCAAGCGUUGUUCGGAUUCAUUGGGCGUAAAGGGUGUGUAGGUGGCGCCGUAAGUCGGGUGUGAAAUUUCGGAGCUUAACUCCGAAACUGCAUUCGAUACUGCGGUGCUUGAGGACUGGAGAGGAGACUGGAAUUCAUGGUGUAGCAGUGAAAUGCGUAGAGAUCAUGAGGAAGACCGGUGGCGAAGGCGGCAUCCUGGACCGACACUGACGCUGAUGAGCGAAAGCCAGGGGAGCAAACGGG
RNAcentral lists this ribosomal RNA (253 nucleotides) under uncultured bacterium. RNAcentral's name for it is "partial 16S ribosomal RNA". It matches the Rfam family "Bacterial small subunit ribosomal RNA", at positions 524 to 776 of the family's 1533-position model. The record is from RNAcentral.